GGGUCAGUAGGUUGGUCGUGCCACCGGUACGUACUGGUCUCACUGAUUCCUCCUUCCUGAAGAACCGUAAUGCCAUCAAUUUGGUGUUGCGGGGAAACAGGACUGUUACUUUGAAAAAAUUAGAGUGUUUAAAGCAAGCUAACGCUUGAAUACAUUAGCAUGGAAUAAUGAAAUAGGACGAUCGAUCCUAUUUUGUUGGUUUCUAGGAUUGACGUA
This 216-nucleotide ribosomal RNA is filed under the name Glomeromycotina sp. RNAcentral describes it as "partial small subunit ribosomal RNA". The stretch from base 40 to 216 matches the Rfam family "Eukaryotic small subunit ribosomal RNA", at positions 686 to 864 of the family's 1831-position model. Lineage: Eukaryota; Fungi; Glomeromycota. The record is from RNAcentral.